UGAGGAAUAUUGGGCAAUGCCCGCAAGGGUGACCCAGCAACGCCGCGUGGAGGAUGAAUGUCGUAAGAUUGUAAACUCCUGUUAGAGGGGAAGAAUAGUACCGGUUGGACCGGUAUAUGACUGUACCCUCAGAGAAAGCCCCGGCUAACUACGUGCCAGCAGCCGCGGUAAUACGUAGGGGGCAAGCGUUGUCCGGAUUUACUGGGUGUAAAGGGCGCGCAGGCGGGAUAAAAAGUCAGUGGUGAAAUCCUACAGCUUAACUGUAGAACUGCCUUUGAUACUUUUAUUCUUGAGUUCGGGAGAGAGAGACGGAAUUCCAGGUGUAGUGGUUAAAUACGUAGAUAUCUGGAAGAACACCAGUUGCGAAGGCGGUCUCUUGGUCCGACACUGACGCUGAGGCGCGAAAGCGUGGGGAGCAAACA
RNAcentral lists this ribosomal RNA (422 nucleotides) under uncultured bacterium. Its description in RNAcentral is "bacterial SSU rRNA". It matches the Rfam family "Bacterial small subunit ribosomal RNA", at positions 355 to 774 of the family's 1533-position model. The record is from RNAcentral.